RNAcentral lists this ribosomal RNA (500 nucleotides) under uncultured bacterium. RNAcentral's name for it is "partial 16S ribosomal RNA". It matches the Rfam family "Bacterial small subunit ribosomal RNA", at positions 30 to 523 of the family's 1533-position model. The record is from RNAcentral.
AUUGAACGCUGGCGGAAUGCUUUACACAUGCAAGUCGAACGGCAGCACGGACUUCGGUCUGGUGGCGAGUGGCGAACGGGUGAGUAGUGUAUCGGAACGUGCCCAGUCGUGGGGGAUAACGUAGUGAAAAUUACGCUAAUACCGCAUACGAUCGAUGGAUGAAAGCGGGGGAUCGCAAGACCUCGCGCGGUUGGAGCCGCCGAUAUCAGAUUAGGUAGUUGGUGGGGUAAAGGCCCACCAAGCCAACGAUCUGUAGCUGGUCUGAGAGGACGACCAGCCACACUGGAACUGAGACACGGUCCAGACUCCUACGGGAGGCAGCAGUGGGGAAGUUUGGACAAUGGGCGAAAGCCUGAUCCAGCCAUUCCGCGUGCAGGAUGAAGGCCCUCGGGUUGUAAACUGCUUUUGUACAGAACGAAAAGGUUUCUACUAAUACUAGGAGCUCAUGACGGUACUGUAAGAAUAAGCACCGGCUAACUACGUGCCAGCAGCCGCUGUAA